Molecule: ribosomal RNA, 818 nt
Filed under: Ruegeria sp. MR08-72
Lineage: Bacteria; Pseudomonadati; Pseudomonadota; Alphaproteobacteria; Rhodobacterales; Roseobacteraceae
Description: bacterial SSU rRNA
Rfam family: Bacterial small subunit ribosomal RNA
Source: RNAcentral
GUCGAGCGCACCUUCGGGUGAGCGGCGGANGGGUUAGUAACGCGUGGGAACAUACCCUUUGGUACGGAAUAGCCUCUGGAAACGGAGAGUAAUACCGUAUGAGCCCUUCGGGGGAAAGAUUUAUCGCCAAAGGAUUGGCCCGCGUUAGAUUAGGUAGUUGGUGGGGUAAUGGCCUACCAAGCCUACGAUCUAUAGCUGGUUUUAGAGGAUGAUCAGCAACACUGGGACUGAGACACGGCCCAGACUCCUACGGGAGGCAGCAGUGGGGAAUCUUGGACAAUGGGGGCAACCCUGAUCCAGCCAUGCCGCGUGAGUGAUGAAGGCCUUAGGGUCGUAAAGCUCUUUCGCCUGUGAAGAUAAUGACGGUAGCAGGUAAAGAAACCCCGGCUAACUCCGUGCCAGCAGCCGCGGUAAUACGGAGGGGGUUAGCGUUGUUCGGAAUUACUGGGCGUAAAGCGCACGUAGGCGGACUGGAAAGUUGGGGGUGAAAUCCCAGGGCUCAACCCUGGAACUGCCUCCAAAACUAUCAGUCUAGAGUUCGAGAGAGGUGAGUGGAAUUCCGAGUGUAGAGGUGAAAUUCGUAGAUAUUCGGAGGAACACCAGUGGCGAAGGCGGCUCACUGGCUCGAUACUGACGCUGANGUGCGAAAGUGUGGGGAGCAAACAGGAUUAGAUACCCUGNUAGUCCACACCGUAAACGAUGAAUGNCAGUCGUCGGGUAGCAUGCUAUUCGGUGACACACCUAACGGAUUAANCAUUCCGNCUGGGGAGUACGGNCGCNNAUUAAAACUCAAAGGNAAUUGACGGGGGCCCGCACAA